AUUGAACGCUGGCGGCAGGCCUAACACAUGCAAGUCGAGCGGCAGCGGGAAAGUAGCUUGCUACUUUUGCCGGCGAGCGGCGGACGGGUGAGUAAUGCCUGGGAAAUUGCCCAGUCGAGGGGGAUAACAGUUGGAAACGACUGCUAAUACCGCAUACGCCCUACGGGGAAAGCAGGGGACCUUCGGGCCUUGCGCGAUUGGAUAUGCCCAGGUGGGAUUAGCUUGUUGGUGAGGUAAUGGCUCAUCAAGGCGACGAUCCCUAGCUGGUCUGAGAGGAUGAUCAGCCACACUGGAACUGAGACACGGUCCAGACUCCUACGGGAGGCAGCAGUGGGGAAUAUUGCACAAUGGGGGGAACCCUGAUGCAGCCAUGCCGCGUGUAGUGAAGAAGGCCUUC
RNAcentral lists this ribosomal RNA (397 nucleotides) under uncultured bacterium. RNAcentral's name for it is "bacterial SSU rRNA". It matches the Rfam family "Bacterial small subunit ribosomal RNA", at positions 30 to 419 of the family's 1533-position model. The record is from RNAcentral.